RNAcentral lists this ribosomal RNA (459 nucleotides) under uncultured Acholeplasma sp. RNAcentral's name for it is "partial 16S ribosomal RNA". It matches the Rfam family "Bacterial small subunit ribosomal RNA", at positions 341 to 792 of the family's 1533-position model. The record is from RNAcentral. Lineage: Bacteria; Bacillati; Mycoplasmatota; Mollicutes; Acholeplasmatales; Acholeplasmataceae.
ACGGGAGGCAGCAGUAGGGAAUUUUCGGCAAUGGGGGAAACCCUGACCGAGCAAUGCCGCGUGAAUGAUGAAAUUCUUCGGAAUGUAAAAUUCUGUUGUAUUGGACGAAUGUUACGUAUAGGAAAUGAUAUGUAAUUGACGGUACUUUACUAGAAAGCCCCGGCUAACUAUGUGCCAGCAGCCGCGGUAAUACAUAGGGGGCAAGCGUUAUCCGGAAUUAUUGGGCGUAAAGAGUGCGUAGGCGGUUUAUUAAGUCUGGUGUGAAAUCCCAUAGCUUAACUAUGGCGGGUCAUUGGAAACUGGUAAACUUGAGUACAGUAGGGGCAAGUGGAACUCCAAGUGGAGCGGUGGAAUGCGUAGAUAUUUGGAAGAACACCAGUGGCGAAGGCGGCUUGCUGGGCUGGAACUGACGCUGAUGCACGAAAGCGUAGGGAGCAAACAGGAUUAGAUACCCUGGUA